RNAcentral lists this ribosomal RNA (262 nucleotides) under uncultured bacterium. Its description in RNAcentral is "partial 16S ribosomal RNA". It matches the Rfam family "Bacterial small subunit ribosomal RNA", at positions 534 to 793 of the family's 1533-position model. The record is from RNAcentral.
GCGAGCGUUAAUCGGAAUUACUGGGCGUAAAGCGCAUGCAGGUGGUUUGUUAAGUCAGAUGUGAAAGCCCGGGGCUCAACCUCGGAAUUGCAUUUGAAAACUGGCAAACUAGAGUACUGUAGAGGGGGUAGGAAUUUCAGGUGUAGCGGUGAAAUGCGUAGAGAUCUGAAGGAAUACCGGUGGCGAAGGCGGCCCCCUGGACAGAUACUGACACUCAGAUGACGAAAGCGUGGGGAGCAAACAGGAUUAGAUACCCUGGUAG